GUCUAUGUUCCUUGGAACAGGACGUCACAGAGGGUGAGAAUCCCGUGCGAUGAUGCCUCAACCAGUACAAGACCCUCUCGACGAGUCGAGUUGUUUGGGAUCCGUAGCUCUAAGUGGGUGGUAAAUUCCAUCUAAAGCUAAAUACUGGCGAGAGACCGAUAGCGAACAAGUACAGUGAUGGAAAGAUGAAAAGCACUUUGAAAAGAGAGUGAAACAGUACGUGAAAUUGUUGAAAGGGAAGGGUAGGAGGUGAGGGGAAGAGCUGCUUAGGCGCGGGAGAUAAACAAGCAGGAAGCGCUUCGGUGCGGCCUGGUAAAUAUCCCGUGCUUGUGU
RNAcentral lists this ribosomal RNA (333 nucleotides) under [Candida] sp. NCIM 3522. RNAcentral describes it as "Candida sp. NCIM 3522 partial 26S ribosomal RNA". It matches the Rfam family "Eukaryotic large subunit ribosomal RNA", at positions 179 to 515 of the family's 3401-position model. The record is from RNAcentral. Lineage: Eukaryota; Fungi; Ascomycota; Saccharomycetes; Saccharomycetales.